RNAcentral lists this ribosomal RNA (380 nucleotides) under uncultured eukaryote. RNAcentral describes it as "partial 18S ribosomal RNA". It matches the Rfam family "Eukaryotic small subunit ribosomal RNA", at positions 592 to 976 of the family's 1831-position model. The record is from RNAcentral.
CAAUAGCGUAUAUUAAAGUUGUUGCGGUUAAAAAGCUCGUAGUUGGAGUUCUGCCAGGUGCCGCCUGUCCGCCCCAGUGGUGAGUACGUGGCGCGCAUUUGGCCCUUUCAAGGGGAGCGUAUCUGCACUUUAUUGUGUGGUGCGGGAUCCUUGACUUUUACUUUGAGGAAAUAGGAGUGUUCCAAGCAGGCUCUCGUCGUGCACAGCUCAGCAUGGAAUAAUAGCAUUGGACCUCGAUUCUAAGCUGUUGGUUGCCAGAAGCGAGGUAAUGAUGAAGAGGGAUAGUUGGGGGCAUUCGUAUUUAACUGUCAGAGAUGAAAUUCUUGGAUUUGUUAAAGACGGACUACUGCGAAAGCAUCUGCCAUGGGUGUUUUCAUUGA